This 822-nucleotide long non-coding RNA is filed under the name Rattus norvegicus (Norway rat). RNAcentral describes it as "long non-coding RNA NONRATT026858". Lineage: Eukaryota; Metazoa; Chordata; Mammalia; Rodentia; Muridae. The record is from RNAcentral.
CCCCAUGCAGAAAUACUACUGUUCUCCAUGGGACCAUCAGCAGUGGAUUCUGUGGAAGCCUUGGCUGAGCAGACGGUAGAAUACGGUUAUGAGGAUCAUGGCCUUUUCAAGAAGAAAAGGAACUUCUGGUGGCUGACACCCUGGAUUACACUGAAAGGCUGCACUCCAGAGGCAGUGAAAGGCCACAUAGCAGAAAAAGCAAUGUGCCACCUGGGUUGAACCUGAUGAACCCUCCAGGGUUCAGAGAACAGAUCGCUCCCAAGCACAUCCUCCUUUCCCAGAUGGCCUUGAACAGAUGCAGCCCUCCAUGCAGACUUGGGAUAAAUAUUGUCCAGGAGGGAGAUGGCGCAUGAUGAACCUGCCAGAAGCCAGCUACAGCCAGGGGAGCUGGAAAGCAAAACUCUCUUGUGCUGCAGAUAGGCAGAGAGGCCUCCUUGACUCUUCUCUCUCCUCCAGGAACUCAGAACUUUGUCUUCCUCACUGAACCCACCUCAGACAAACUACUCAAUGGACUCCAGAAAACCCAAAUCUCUUCAGCUUUCUAAAGGAGAUGAAUGAGGAGCCGUCUGGGCCGGAAAUGCAGGUCCCAGAGAACUUUCUCCAGAGAUAUACCAGUUUGGAUGAAGGCUAUGUCCAAAUGAUUCAGAUACAAGAGUUGGGUGGUCCUAGGUUCAGAUCUACACUUUUCUUCUCACCGAUAUCCCUUAAGUAAAGGAAUAGUCAUGGACUCCUCAUGGGUGUGGUGGGCUUAGAUGAUGCUAUGUUUGUACAACUACUGUGCAAAUACAAAGCUUCCCUCAUGCAGGGAGAGGCUUGAACAGC